GACGAACCGUCCAAACGUUAUUCGGAAUCACUGGGCUUAAAGGGUGCGUAGGCGGUCUGUUAAGUUGGGUGUGAAAGCCCUCGGCUCAACCGAGGAAUAGCGCCCAAAACUAGCGGACUUGAGCAAGGCAGAGGUGAACGGAACUAAGGGUGGAGCGGUGAAAUGCGUUGAUAUCCUUAGGAACACCAGUAGCGAAAGCGGUUCACUGGGCCUUUUCUGACGCUGAUGCACGAAAGCCAGGGGAGCGAACGGG
RNAcentral lists this ribosomal RNA (253 nucleotides) under uncultured bacterium. RNAcentral's name for it is "partial 16S ribosomal RNA". It matches the Rfam family "Bacterial small subunit ribosomal RNA", at positions 524 to 776 of the family's 1533-position model. The record is from RNAcentral.